UAGGUUUUGUCCGAGGGAAAUUGUUUUAAUAGUAACGAGGUGCUGUCCGAGUACCGAGUCAUCACCUACUCAGGUGAGUGCAUAGUUACUUUCAUCUUACACAUAGAUAUGAAGUAUUUUAUAUAAAUUACAUGCUAUGUGUGCAUAUUAUCUGAGUACUUGCUGUCUAUGCUGGAUGAAUGUUUUUAUACAUGUUUUAAAUGAUUUAAACUGUAUACGUAUUUUAUAUAUACAAAUAUGUUGGGGGAUGACAUGGGUAGAUGAACGAUGAGAGAGAAAAGAUGAUGUGAGUAAACAUAAGCAGCUAUGGACUUAGUGCCUAUUGGACAAACACUGGUAGCUAUGGACUUAGUACCUGAUAGGAAUUGGUAGCUAUGGACUUAGUACCUAUUAGAUAAACAUUGGUAGCUAUGGAUUUAGUACCUGUUAGGAAUUGGUAGCUAUGGACUUAGUACCUAUUAGAUAAACACUGGUAGCUAUGGAUUUAGUACCCAAUGAAUAAACUAUAGCAGCUAUGGAAUUAGUGCUUUACGAACGAGCAUUGGUAGCUAUGGAUUUAGUGCCAGUCCUAUAACCCUGGAAGUAAGGGACUUCGGAAUAAACGAAUGCAGGAUAGAUGACUCUUAGGAUAAAUCCUUAAGAGUAAAGAAGAUAAUGGGGAUGGGUAAUUGGGUUGAUUGUUUGAUUGUUUAAACAUAAUAAUUAUAUUAUUGUGGGUUGAAAACCCUAUGUACUCACUAGGUUUCCCAACCUGACCUACUCAGUUUAUUUAUAUCACAUGUGUCGAUACGAAGUGACAUUACACUGAGAGAUUAAAGAGAUGUAGAUCACUAGUGUAAAUAAAUGUAAGUUCCGUUUAUGCUUAUGUUCAUGUAUUGACGAUGACAUCCCAAACGUUUUAAAAUAAAUAAAAUACGUUUCUUCGAAAAUGUUUUGAUAACGUAUUUAUCGUAUUUUUCUGGGAACAAAUUCCGCAACAUUUUUAUGAAAUGAAGUACUCUGAUUUUUAUAAAGCAUAAACAAAAUCGGUCUUUUCUGGCCGUGAAAAUGGGGAUGUCACAGUUGGUAUCAAAGCAUUAGUUUAAGCGAACUAGGAAUUUGUAGGAAAUUUCUAAACUUAAACUUAGAAUGCUAAGCAAUGAUUGUGAGGUGUGAGCACUAGCUUAUUUUAGGAAUUGUGCCUAAAAUGCUUUUAUGUGCUAAAUGCUUGUGCCUGAUAUGUUGUUAUUUGUUCGGAUCUAUGGUCUAUUGCCGACCGAAUCUGGAAACCUUAUGUGUUUAAUAUUCUAAGCAUUUAACUACGAUAUUAGAACCAGCAUAUGAACGUUUCGGGGUGAUAAGGAUGAUUUAAACGUCAAUCCUAAGUAAAAAUCUAGAUUCACCUUAUUCGGUGUAUAGAUCAAGAUGGCAAGAACCCAUAGCGGAAACGUGAAUGCAAAUACGAACCAAGAUCAGCCCCCAGUGAGUUAGCAAUACCUGUUGUAGUAUCCGCUCCUGAGCCAAUCACGAUGGCCGGAGUUCAAGCGUUGAUCCAGAUGAUGUCGGAUCGUCAAAUGGAGGAAACAAGGCUUUUACUUCAACAAACUCGAGAGGAACUUACGAUGCCUAUUGAACAGCCCGAGCUGAAUGACGGGCAGACUGAGGAAGGGAACGACGGCAGGACCGUUGGUCAAACUGAUCCACCGGUGAUUAGGAGGAACAAUCAAGAUGAAGGACUCGAGAGGAAUGGAUGCCAGUACAAAGAUACUCUAACUUGCAAGCCAUCGACUUUCACUGGGAAGGAAGAUCCGAUUGGAGUCAUGGAUUGGAUCUCAGAAAUGGAAUUCGCCUUCAUGACAUGUUGUUGCAAAGGCAAGCUACAAACCACGUUUGUAGUGCGUCAAUUCAAAGGAGGUGUUGUUCGCUAGUGGAACACCCUGGGGAAGACUUUAAGCCCCAAUGAGCCCCUACAAUUAACAUGGGUAGAGUUUUUGGUGCAAUUCAAACGAAAGUACUGCUCAGCCCAAAACCUGCUCGAGCUAGAGAACCAAUUCCUAACUUUGAAGAAAGGAAGCAUGUCCAUCGAUGAAUACACCAACAACUUCACGGACAAAAUGGAGUUUGCUUUGCGCCUUGUCCCAAACGAGCUGACAAAAGUUGACAAGUAUGCAAAGGGGCUUCCCUGGGAGUAUGCGGUGCCAGUACGUCAAGCACCUACUCUAGAGGCAGCUAUCUGGGCUGCCAAGUCUGUUGAAGAUAUGAUCAAGGGAAGAGCCGCCAGCAAGAUGGAGGUUGGCGAGCACAGAAAGUUUGAAGGAUCUUCAAAGUCCAACAAGGAAAUCAAAUUCUCAAAGCUCGGAAGAGGAGAAGGAGGUGAAGCGAGAUGGUGUGAUAAAUGCAAGAAGAAGCAUUGUGGGAAGUGCAACGAAGAAGUGACUUGUUACAAGUGUGGAAGGAUUGGUCACUAUUCAAAGGAUUGUACACAUAAUGAUAAAGUAUGAUGCGAAUGUGGAGGCAAGGGGCACAUGUCCAAAGACUGCCCGAGGAAAAAUAAAGUAGCAAGACCAGAAACGCCACCAAGGCCAAGGGCAUUCCACAUGAUCCUCGACGAAGCGGAAAACAACGCGAGGAACCAAGGAUAAGGAAUCUAUACCCGAAGAUCGAGUUACGAGGUAGCCUAAGAGAUAAAACCACGUGAUGUAGCCUCUUAGAGGCAUAGUCUAGGGUGAACUUGAACACCUAUGUAAUAGUUUCAAGAAAUAAUAAAAUCUUCGUUUUGUUAUCUGGUGUGUUAAACUGUUAUGUGAUUUUCUUGAAUGGUGACUUGGAAAACUACGAGACAAUACUUGGGACAAGUAUGAGUAGGUGUGAAAGGUAGUAGAUGCAUAUACUACUGGAAGCACAGGACUCACGCUUGGAUCAGGAAAAGUCACAAGGUUACCAAGAAACUAGUAAUUGAUUUCAUUUUAUUCAAGUAUGGCGUUACCAUUGUUUCGGUAAUGACUAAGAAAAAUUGUUGUUAUCCCGGACCUAAUUUUCAUAUCACAUUAAGUCCCGACUACGAUGAGUAGGUUAUGUGGUUCAGAGAACCAAGUUUGAUGUAGCGUCCGACUUAAACCAAACAAUUUAAAUCUAAGCGGUCAAUAGAAGUAUCGCGCUCGUUGUUAAAGAAGUUGGUAGCUAGAAAUGCUACAUGUUGAAGUGUGAUUAUAUCACAUUAAAACAUGAAGGAAGGCAUAGUCUGUUUUAGAAUUUAACUCUAAGAGACCUGAUUCUAAACGUGCAUCACAUGAUGAUAGGUCAUAAUUUGGAAUCUAACCUGAGGUAGAGAGCAGGUGCACGAUCAAGUACUGCUUACAGUCAAUAAGUCUAAGAGAUAGACUUGAAGGAAUAUAGAAGUUAUAAUUAUUACCUAGGAUGAAGAGAUGAUGUAUUGAGUCAUUAUACGAGCCCUGUUUCGUUGAUGAUUCCGGGACGUAAUCAUCCUAAGGGGGAGAUAAUUGUAACGCCCGUAGAUCCGGGCUAGUCAAUUUAGAGACAAUAAGUGUCAAAAAUGACUUUUAGGAAAAAUACUAUUUAUAAUAAAUAGUCUUAACCAAGUUGUAGAGUAUGUCUCAAGGUUUCCAUACAUAUAAAGAACGCCGAAAUCCGACUUAUAACGAAAAAGUUAUGGCCCGUCGAAGUUUUACGGCAAAAUAGGCACGACAUUGGGAAGCAUAAAUAGAAAAUUUAUGAUGGAGCGAUUUUUAGCCUUAGUGAUCUAAAAUAAAGUCAUAGAAUAUGUUAAACCGAGAAAAUCCAUAAAAAAACGCCCAAAUCUGACUUCGUAUGAAGAAGUUAUGAUUUUUCUAAGAUUUGGCUUAGCAGUGCACGGCCCGAAACUCGAAUUUUAGUUCAAGCGGUUUUUGGCUUACGCGACCUAAAUGAGAGUUGAAGAUCUCAUUAAUAGGAACUCAAUGAUAAAAAGAUGGAUGAAAACGGAUUCCGUAUGAAGGAGUUACGAAUUCUUCGUGGUCAUUUAGCAGUCUAAACGCCUCCUACUAUUAAAUUUGAGAUCGGUCGAGAAUUAGCCAACGGAGUCUAAAUGAAAGUUGUAGAUCUUGAUUUUACCUACGUGUUGAAAAAAGGAACGUCAAAAACGGAGCUCAUAUGCGAGAGUUAUGAUUUUUCUAAGUUUGAAGGCUGAUACGCGAUAUUGGGUGACGUGGCGCGAUCACAGCCAUUGCUUUCUCUCCAAGGAAAGCCAUCAGAUGAUGACACGUGGCACUGACUCGGCGAGUCAGUGAACCGACUCGGUGAGUCCAUCAGGAUUUCACCCCAUAAAUAGAAGUUUCGGGUUUCUCCAUUUCUCACACCUUCCAAACACUUCUUUCUCUCUCUAGAACCUCUCUCUAGCCCCCCUUAAGCCCCCUAAAGUCUAGGUAACCCCCCUAGCACCCGAAGGAAGCCCCGAGGCUCCUCAAGUCCCGAGAAAAGAGCCUUUCAACUCGGAAACGCUGCUCCAGCAAAGCCCGGUUUUGAGAAAAAAAAACCCGCUGUAAGUAAGAUGUAGCUAUCCUAUCUUUNCAGGACUCACGCUUGGAUCAGGAAAAGUCACAAGGUUACCAAGAAACUAGUAAUUGAUUUCAUUUUAUUCAAGUAUGGCGUUACCAUUGUUUCGGUAAUGACUAAGAAAAAUUGUUGUUAUCCCGGACCUAAUUUUCAUAUCACAUUAAGUCCCGACUACGAUGAGUAGGUUAUGUGGUUCAGAGAACCAAGUUUGAUGUAGCGUCCGACUUAAACCAAACAAUUUAAAUCUAAGCGGUCAAUAGAAGUAUCGCGCUCGUUGUUAAAGAAGUUGGUAGCUAGAAAUGCUACAUGUUGAAGUGUGAUUAUAUCACAUUAAAACAUGAAGGAAGGCAUAGUCUGUUUUAGAAUUUAACUCUAAGAGACCUGAGUCUAAACGUGCAUCACAUGAUGAUAGGUCAUAAUUUGGAGUCUAACUUGAGGUAGAGAGCAGGUGCACGAUUAAGUACUGCUUACAAUCAAUAAGUCUAAGAGAUAGACUUGAAGGAAUAAAGAAGUUACAAUUAUUACCUAGGAUGAAGAGAUGACGUAUGGAGUCAUUAUACGAGCCCUGUUUCGUUGAUGAUUCCGGGACGUAAUCAUCCUAAGGGGGAGAUAAUUGUAACGCCCGUAGAUCCGGGCUAGUCAAUUUAGAGACAAUAAGUGUCAAAAAUGACUUUUAGGAAAAAUACUAUUUAUAAUAAAUAGUCUUAACCAAGUUGUAGAGUAUGUCUCAAGGUUUCCAUACAUAUAAAGAACGCCGAAAUCCGACUUAUAACGAAAAAGUUAUGGCCCGUCGAAGUUUUACGGCAAAAUAGGCACGACAUUGGGAAGCAUAAAUAGAAAAUUUAUGAUGGAGCGAUUUUUAGCCUUAGUGAUCUAAAAUAAAGUCAUAGAAUAUGUUAAACCGAGAAAAUCCAUAAAAAAACGCCCAAAUCUGACUUCGUAUGAAGAAGUUAUGAUUUUUCUAAGAUUUGGCUUAGCAGUGCACGGCCCGAAACUCGAAUUUUAGUUCAAGCGGUUUUUGGCUUACGCGACCUAAAUGAGAGUUGAAGAUCUCAUUAAUAGGAACUCAAUGAUAAAAAGAUGGAUGAAAACGGAUUCCGUAUGAAGGAGUUACGAAUUCUUCGUGGUCAUUUAGCAGUCUAAACGCCUCCUACUAUUAAAUUUGAGAUCGGUCGAGAAUUAGCCAACGGAGUCUAAAUGAAAGUUGUAGAUCUUGAUUUUACCUACGUGUUGAAAAAAAUAACUUCGAAAACGGAGCUCGUAUGCGAGAGUUAUGAUUUUUCUAAGUUUGAAGGCUGAUACGCGAUAUUGGGUGACGUGGCGCGAUCACAGCCAUUGCUUUCUCUCCAAGGAAAGCCAUCAGAUGAUGACACGUGGCACUGACUCGGCGAGUCAGUGAACCGACUCGGUGAGUCCAUCAGGAUUUCACCCCAUAAAUAGAAGUUUCGGGUUUCUCCAUUUCUCACACCUUCCAAACACUUCUUUCUCUCUCUAGAACCUCUCUCUAGCCCCCCUUAAGCCCCCUAAAGUCUAGGUAACCCCCCUAGCACCCGAAGGAAGCCCCGAGGCUCCUCAAGUCCCGAGAAAAGAGCCUUUCAACUCGGAAACGCUGCUCCAGCAAAGCCCGGUUUUGAGAAAAAAAAACCCGCUGUAAGUAAGAUGUAGCUAUCCUAUCUUUAGUAUAGCUUAUGUUUUAUUAUAGUAACGUUAUUAGGAACUUAUAAUGAGUAUUUGGGCUAUUAUUAUGAGUUAUAUAAGAGUGUUUCUUAACGCUUAUAUAAUAGUAAUAAUAGCUAGACUAUUAAAUAGUCGCAGUUAACGUUAGACUAAACUCUAGUGGUAAUGAUACUAGGUUUUGUCCGAGGGAAAUUGUUUUAAUAGUAACGAGGUGCUGUCCGAGUACCGAGUCAUCACCUACUCAGGUGAGUGCAUAGUUACUUCCAUCUUACACAUAGAUAUGAAGUAUUUUAUAUAAAUUACAUGCUAUGUGUGCAUAUUAACUGAGUACUUGCUGUCUAUGCUGGAUGAACGUUUUUAUACAUGUUUUAAAUGAUUUAAACUGUAUACGUAUUUUAUAUAUACAAAUAUGUUGGGGGAUGACAUGGGUAGAUGAACGAUGAGAGAGAAANCUUAGUACCUGUUAGGAAUUGGUAGCUAUGGACUUAGUACCUAUUAGAUAAACACUGGUAGCUAUGGAUUUAGUACCCGAUGAAUAAACUAUAGCAGCUAUGGAAAUAGUGCUUUAUGAAUGAGCAUUGGUAGUUAUGAAUUUAGUGCCAGUCCUAUAACCCUGGAAGUAAGGGACUUCGGAAUAAACGAUUGCAGGAUAGAUGACUCUUAGGAUAAAUCCUUAAGAGUAAAGAAGAUAA
Molecule: long non-coding RNA, 6899 nt
Filed under: Lactuca sativa (garden lettuce)
Lineage: Eukaryota; Viridiplantae; Streptophyta; Magnoliopsida; Asterales; Asteraceae
Description: long non-coding RNA (LSAT_LNC003999)
Source: RNAcentral